AGCCAAUGAGCUUGUAAAAGCAUGUAUUUUGAAAAUACAAGAAAGAGGUAAUUCUCUAUUGACUU
RNAcentral lists this transfer RNA (65 nucleotides) under Margarinotus merdarius. RNAcentral's name for it is "tRNA-Ser". The record is from RNAcentral. Lineage: Eukaryota; Metazoa; Arthropoda; Insecta; Coleoptera; Histeridae.